AAUUAUUAAUGUAGAACCCAGUAACUUAAAAGGAUUAGAAUCCCGAACCCAUAAACUUCAAAUCCUGGCUCCGCCUCUGGCAGCUAAAGUUAGCGUUUGUACUUGUCAUGUGAAGAUUGAGUUUGAACAUUUUAAGACUUUUGUUAUGUGCUGGACUACUUUAUUUUAUUUUUGAGUUCUUUCCUUGCAUUUGUUACUCCUUAUACUGUUGGACAUUACGGGCAUCCCCAUUUCAAGACUGCUGAUGGUAUAGUGUAUAUCAUAUGUUGGCAAUGAUCCAUUGUUUUGAGUAUGUGUUGCUAAACGUAGUACAAGAGAGUGAUUUGGAGAACAUGGCUUCUAAAAUGCCCGGCUGCCACAGAGGAGGCUUUGCACUCUACAAAUUAAUGGUACAAGGUGCAAAUAAUAACUAAUAUCUUCAUUGCGUUGAUUGAGGAUGUUGUAUCCUCUUCAUCUCUUGUAUGCCUGAUUUAUACAUGUUCGUCUUGCAUUCCUUGAUGUGCAACCCGAUGCUUUCAUAGGUCAAAAGAAAACUUUCCAUGUAAAUGAGCUCACCUGCAGAUAUGCGAGUUAGUCAUAUUGAAUGGCAAGUUUGCUUCUUUACUUUACUAUGUAUUGAGCUGUAUCAGUUGUAUUUUGUUACUUCUGGAUAUAUUGGAAAAUUGGCUUGCAUCCU
Molecule: non-coding RNA, 676 nt
Organism: Nicotiana tabacum (common tobacco)
Lineage: Eukaryota; Viridiplantae; Streptophyta; Magnoliopsida; Solanales; Solanaceae
Source: RefSeq, a predicted model, not a curated record